UUCGUUCUUCUUCUCCGUCUCCUUUGUUCUUUUUCUCACCUCAUUGAAAUUUUUUUGUCGCACAUUCCAUUCUUCUCCACCUCCUCCGAUUCCGACUUCACGACAUCACACUCACUUCGAACCGUCGUAGCCCAGAAAGUUGACUGGUUUAGUUGCUUAAUACUUCUCCCUCCGAGUCGUCUCUUGCUCCUUCUCUCUCGCCUCCAUAUGUGCGAUUCUGAAUUUGAUUCAUAUAUCUAAGAGUUCUAUUCAAAGCAUAAUAAAAAGAUUCAUGUGAAAGAAGAGGAAAGGACAACUAUACAUGCCAAGAAGCUGAGCUUAAGAUGCUUAGGAAGAGUUUGAACUUCAAAUCCACCCCGAUGUCUACCUAAACCUCCUUAGGGUUUUGUGGAUUAUUCAAUUCUACUAAGGGCAUCUGGAAAUAUAAUAUGAGAAAGGGGAGGAGCUCUCCGCCAUGUACAAAUCGCAAAACUAGGAAAUCUCCUAGCCACCGCACAACCACGAGGAACCAUACUUGCUACUUCAGCACCUUCUCCAUCACCCUAAGAACUUUUUGCCUUCUCUUAUGAACAUGUUAGAUCUUUAGAAUGUUUCAUACUGUGUAAGGCUUUGAUUAACAACAUUAGGGGUUUGAUUAGCAACAUUUUGGUUCAUCAAAUUUAUAUAAUUUCAACAUUUCUUUUUA
This is a long non-coding RNA of Capsella rubella, 685 nucleotides long. RefSeq lists it as uncharacterized. Lineage: Eukaryota; Viridiplantae; Streptophyta; Magnoliopsida; Brassicales; Brassicaceae. The record is from RefSeq and is a predicted model, not a curated record. The transcript has 3 exons.